RNAcentral lists this long non-coding RNA (251 nucleotides) under Olea europaea (common olive). RNAcentral describes it as "long non-coding RNA (OEUR_LNC005752)". Lineage: Eukaryota; Viridiplantae; Streptophyta; Magnoliopsida; Lamiales; Oleaceae. The record is from RNAcentral.
UCCAUCAGUAUGUGCAAAAUAACCUUUCAAGAGAUAGUACAGUGAUCGAGACAUCCAAAUCAUAAACAACAUUUGGUCAUUGAUCCAUAUGGAUCUAACAAAUAGCUACCUUAAUCAAUACCAGAACUAAGAACCCUCAACCUUAAACAAUAUACAGACUACUGGCCAAAUACUACACGACUAAUUACACAAGAUCCAUUUGGCCAUCCUUGUGCAACUAGACAGAAUCAACCAAAAAACCAAUUUUAACC